AACCAGAAAUAUUGUUUUCCUUUGAAACCCUAAAGAAUUAAUAAAAACAAAAAGAGAGCAAAGAACAAAUAAAUAAACCCACUCUCCUUUAUCUUUUCCAUCUCCUUGCCUCUUUCUCUUUCUCUUUCUCUGCAACUCUUUUGUUUGAUGUGAUUCUCCACCAUAUCUCUAAGAACCCAUCUUCCUUUACAAAAAAAAUACAGAAAUCUUGAUAGCCACCAUGGUUUUCCCAUCUAUUCCUGUCUAUCUAGAUCCAUCCAAUUGGCAACAGCAACCAAAUCAGCAACCUGUAGGAGGCAACACUGAGAACUCGCAGCUUCAACUACCGCCGCUACCUGGAUUAGGUGGCGGCGGUGGUGGCACGGGCUCAAUCAGACCCGGUUUGAUGGCGGAGCGAGCUCGACUGGCGAAGAUUCCUCAACCUGAAGCAGCCCUAAAAUGUCCAAGAUGUGAUUCUACAAACACUAAAUUUUGUUACUUCAAUAACUACAACCUUUCGCAGCCUCGCCACUUCUGCAAGACCUGCCGGCGAUACUGGACGAGAGGUGGUGCACUUAGAAACGUACCAGUCGGAGGUGGCUGUAGAAGAAACAAAAGAAGCAAAGGAAGCAGCAGAUCCAAAUCUCCGGCUGUAACCGAGAGUCAAACCGGGGCGACCUCAUCUAGUACACUUGCUUCUAGACGUUCAACAACUGAUAUCAUCGGCCACAUGCCACCUCCGCCCUCACAAUUACAAAUUUUGCCCCCUUUACAUCAUCUUAGUGGUUUCAAUUCAGCUAAUAUUGGUUUGAAUUUUGGGGGAAUUCAAGUUCCAGGGGUGGCAACUGCUACUGGUGGUGGUAAUAGUGGCAAUAAUGAUAUUGAAAUUCGGGUGGGAGCUGCGUCAGGAGGUGUUAGCGGCGGUGCUGGUGGUUCUUCUUUAAUUUCAAGUGGGCUUGUUGAGCAGUGGAGAUUGCAACAGGUGCAACAAUAUCCUUUCUUGACGGGCAUGGAGCCAACGACUGGUUUGUAUCAGUUCGAGAGUGAAGGCGCCGUGGCGCCGAAUUAUUAUGUUGGUCAGCUUCGGUCAAAGCCGAUGGAUUCUCCGGUUACGCAGUCGGCAAAUGUGAAAAUGGAAGAAAAUCAAGGGCUAAAUUUAUCACGAAAUUUUUUGGGUAUAUCAGGAAAUGAUCAAUAUUGGAAUACUAGCAAUGCAUGGACAGAUGUCUCUGGAUUCAAUUCAUCUUCCACCAGCCAUUUUCUAUGAUAUUUUUUAAUCUCAAUAGCCCCUUCUCAAAAAGAAACCUCCCUCUUGCUUUGUGGUUAAUAAUUAUAUUUCUCUUUUUCCUUUGGCCUAAAAAGUGAUUUCAAAUUAAGGCCUUAACUCUCAAGAUCAAACCACUAAAGAUCGUAAGUUGACAUGGAAAUUAUGGAUAUCGCUGAAAGAAAUUUAGAACGAUGAGAUGAACUAAUCUCUUUGCCAAAUUGGGAUAACAAUGAGCCAUAAUUCUUGUUGAUAAAUCGAUUCAGAUUAUACAGUAAUCAAGAGGGGAUAUAAAGUGAGCAAGAAGAAUCUUGGCUCAUGGAUCAUACAGUUGAAGAGUUUCUCUCGCUAAUUUGGUUUAGUAGCAGCAUUUUCACAGAAGAGCUCGUGUCAUUUCAUAUCAAAGCCUCUGCAAAACAACAAAAGAGAGUUAAGUCUUCAUCCUUGGUAAGUGGAGUGGCUAUUGACAGAAUUUAUUGGCGUUAUAGUUAGUUUCAUGAAAUGUAAGAUCUCUUCCACCUCCUGCAACUCUUUCUCUCUGGUCACACAGAGACGUUUUGCAGAUGACUCAUCCAUGUACCCUUUAAUAAUUAGUCGCACGCCUUGCUUCUUUUGGCCAAUACACUCCGCAGCAUCCUUACUUCGUAGUUUCUGCAUGUCUUGUUUCAUCAUCAACAUACAGUCAGUACCUUUAAUCAUCCGAUGGGCAAUUUCAGUUUCCAA
This is an RNA transcript of Mangifera indica (mango), 1966 nucleotides long. It is a transcript of the gene named dof zinc finger protein DOF3.6-like, with no coding region annotated. The transcript has 3 exons. The record is from RefSeq and is a predicted model, not a curated record. NCBI's taxonomy places the organism in Eukaryota, Viridiplantae, Streptophyta, Magnoliopsida, Sapindales, Anacardiaceae.